CUGCGCAUUUUCGCUGCUCGGCUGCGCUGCCACUGCAAGAUCAAUUCCGAGGAAGGCUCAACGCUGCUUGAGGAUUUCCUUUUCUAAACCUAAAUCUUGGUUUGGUACAAACGCUUAGGGGUGGAACCUGAGUUUCCAAAUACAAGCUCUCCUGAGUCUUCAGCAACAUUAUCAGGAUUGGAUGGAGUGAAGGUGAAGGAGUCGGCCCAGUACACAGGAACAAGAGGGACUGAACGAUACCCACGCAAGGCAGGAGAGCACUGCAUUUGGGGACCCCCGGGAGCCAGGGGCAGACCUCCCCACAAAGAACCUCAGAGUCCAGACUCCAACCCCUGGGUCUUCCUGUUACAUGACACUGGACAUAAACCCCCAAACCCAUGGCCCGGCCCCGCCCAGAAGCUCCAGAGAGCAGAGGACCAUCGCCACUGCCCCGACGUAGGGGAGGAAAGAGGAGGAAUCUCUUUGUGCACUCAUUUCGAGGCCGUCCUGGGCAGUUGGAUCCAGUCCCGCAACCUCAGCCCACUUGGUCAGGCGACCUUAAAGGCAUCAACCAC
Long non-coding RNA from Nannospalax galili (Upper Galilee mountains blind mole rat), 554 nucleotides. RefSeq lists it as uncharacterized. Lineage: Eukaryota; Metazoa; Chordata; Mammalia; Rodentia; Spalacidae. The transcript is spliced from 3 exons. The record is from RefSeq and is a predicted model, not a curated record.